AAGGCUUGACAUGCAGGGAAAUCUCACAGAGAUGUGAGGUCCGCAAGGGUCCUGCACAGGUGGUGCAUGGUUGUCGUCAGCUCGUGUCGUGAGAUGUUGGGUUAAGUCCCGCAACGAGCGCAACCCUCGUUCUAUGUUGCCAGCGUGUAAUGACGGGGACUCAUAGGAGACUGCCGGGGUCAACUCGGAGGAAGGUGGGGAUGACGUCAAAUCAUCAUGCCCCUUAUGUCUUGGGCUGCACACAUGCUACAAUGGCCGAUACAAAGGGCUGCUAAGCCGCAAGGUGGAGCGAAUCCCAAAAAGUCGGUCUCAGUUCGGAUUGGGGUCUGCAACUCGACCCCAUGAAGUCGGAGUUGCUAGUAAUCGCAGAUCAGCAACGCUGCGGUGAAUACGUUCCCGGGCC
RNAcentral lists this ribosomal RNA (403 nucleotides) under uncultured bacterium. Its description in RNAcentral is "bacterial SSU rRNA". It matches the Rfam family "Bacterial small subunit ribosomal RNA", at positions 976 to 1380 of the family's 1533-position model. The record is from RNAcentral.